Molecule: ribosomal RNA, 429 nt
Filed under: Acidobacteriota bacterium
Lineage: Bacteria; Pseudomonadati; Acidobacteriota
Description: Acidobacteria bacterium partial 16S ribosomal RNA
Rfam family: Bacterial small subunit ribosomal RNA
Source: RNAcentral
UGGGGAAUUUUGGACAAUGGGGGAAACCCUGAUCCAGCCAUCCCGCGUGUGCGAUGAAGGCCUUCGGGUUGUAAAGCACUUUUGGCAGGAAAGAAACGUCAUGGGUUAAUACCCCGUGAAACUGACGGUACCUGCAGAAUAAGCACCGGCUAACUACGUGCCAGCAGCCGCGGUAAUACGUAGGGUGCAAGCGUUAAUCGGAAUUACUGGGCGUAAAGCGUGCGCAGGCGGUUCGGAAAGAAAGAUGUGAAAUCCCAUAGCUCAACUUUGGAACUGCAUUUUUAACUACCGGGCUAGAGUAUGUCAGAGGGAGGUGGAAUUCCGCGUGUAGCAGUGAAAUGCGUAGAUAUGCGGAGGAACACCGAUGGCGAAGGCAGCCUCCUGGGAUAACACUGACGCUCAUGCACGAAAGCGUGGGGAGCAAACAGG